RNAcentral lists this ribosomal RNA (373 nucleotides) under uncultured bacterium. RNAcentral describes it as "bacterial SSU rRNA". It matches the Rfam family "Bacterial small subunit ribosomal RNA", at positions 527 to 898 of the family's 1533-position model. The record is from RNAcentral.
AGAGACUGCAAGCGUUAUUCGGAUUCACUGGGCGUAAAGGGUGCGCAGGCGGCCAGGUGUGUGAGGCGUGAAAGCCCGGGGCUUAACCCCGGAAUUGCACCUCAAACUACUUGGCUAGAGCAUUGGAGAGGGUAGCAGAAUUCAUGGUGUAGCAGUGAAAUGCGUAGAUAUCAUGAGGAAUACCAGAGGCGAAGGCGGCUACCUGGACAAUUGCUGACGCUCAGGCACGAAAGCGUGGGGAGCAAAAGGGAUUAGAUACCCCUGUAGUCCACGCCCUAAACGGUGCACACUAGGUCUUGGCGGAUUCGACCCCUCCAGGGCCCCAGCUAACGCGUUAAGUGUGCCGCCUGAGGACUACGGCCGCAAGGCUAAA